RNAcentral lists this ribosomal RNA (576 nucleotides) under Escherichia coli. RNAcentral describes it as "bacterial LSU rRNA". It matches the Rfam family "Bacterial large subunit ribosomal RNA", at positions 2373 to 2925 of the family's 2925-position model. Lineage: Bacteria; Pseudomonadati; Pseudomonadota; Gammaproteobacteria; Enterobacterales; Enterobacteriaceae. The record is from RNAcentral.
CUGCGAGCGUGACGGCGCGAGCAGGUGCGAAAGCAGGUCAUAGUGAUCCGGUGGUUCUGAAUGGAAGGGCCAUCGCUCAACGGAUAAAAGGUACUCCGGGGAUAACAGGCUGAUACCGCCCAAGAGUUCAUAUCGACGGCGGUGUUUGGCACCUCGAUGUCGGCUCAUCACAUCCUGGGGCUGAAGUAGGUCCCAAGGGUAUGGCUGUUCGCCAUUUAAAGUGGUACGCGAGCUGGGUUUAGAACGUCGUGAGACAGUUCGGUCCCUAUCUGCCGUGGGCGCUGGAGAACUGAGGGGGGCUGCUCCUAGUACGAGAGGACCGGAGUGGACGCAUCACUGGUGUUCGGGUUGUCAUGCCAAUGGCACUGCCCGGUAGCUAAAUGCGGAAGAGAUAAGUGCUGAAAGCAUCUAAGCACGAAACUUGCCCCGAGAUGAGUUCUCCCUGANCCUUUAAGGGUCCUGAAGGAACGUUGAAGACGACGACGUUGAUAGGCCGGGUGUGUAAGCGCAGCGAUGCGUUGAGCUAACCGGUACUAAUGAACCGUGAGGCUUAACCUUACAACGCCGAAGGUGUUU